RNAcentral lists this transfer RNA (66 nucleotides) under Pachygrapsus crassipes. RNAcentral's name for it is "tRNA-Ser". Lineage: Eukaryota; Metazoa; Arthropoda; Malacostraca; Decapoda; Grapsidae. The record is from RNAcentral.
GAUUGUUUAGUUUAAUUAAAACGAGUGUUUUGAAAGCACUGAAUAAGAAUCUUUUCUUAACAAUCG